RNAcentral lists this ribosomal RNA (479 nucleotides) under uncultured bacterium. RNAcentral describes it as "bacterial SSU rRNA". It matches the Rfam family "Bacterial small subunit ribosomal RNA", at positions 17 to 518 of the family's 1533-position model. The record is from RNAcentral.
UCCUGGCUCAGAACGAACGCUGGCGGCAUGGAUUAGGCAUGCAAGUCGAACGGAUGCAGCAACGCAUUAGUGGCGAAAGGGUGAGGAACGCGUGAGUAACCUGCCCCCAAGUUGGGAAUAACAGUUGGAAACGACUGCUAAUACCUGAUGCGAUUGUUUUUCGGCAUCGAGAAACAAUUAAAGAUUUAUCGCUUGGGGAUGGGCUCGCGUCCCAUUAGGUAGUUGGUGAGGUAACGGCUCACCAAGCCGACGAUGGGUAGCUGGUCUGAGAGGAUGGUCAGCCACACUGGGACUGAGACACUGCCCAGACUCCUACGGGAGGCUGCAGUCGAGAAUCUUCCGCAAUGCGCGAAAGCGUGACGGAGCAAAAUGCCGCGUGCCGGAUGAAGGUCUUCGGAUCGUAAACGGCUGUCAGAUGGGACGAAUAAAGUGACGGUACCAUCAAAGGAAGCCACGGCUAACUACGUGCCAGCAGCGGC